GAUGAAGAACGUAGCGAAAUGCGAUAAGUAAUGUGAAUUGCAGAAUUCAGUGAAUCAUCGAAUCUUUGAACGCACAUUGCGCCCGCCAGUAUUCUGGCGGGCAUGCCUGUUCGAGCGUCAUUUCAACCCUCAGGCCCCCAGUGCCUGGUGUUGGGGAUCGGCCCAGCCUUCCUGUAAGGCCGCCGGCCCCGAAAUCUAGUGGCGGUCUCGCUGUAGUCCUCCUCUGCGUAGUAGCACAACCUCGCAGUUGGAACGCGGCGGUGGCCAUGCCGUUAAACACCCCACUUCUGAAAGUUGACCUCGGAUCAGGUAGGAAUACCAGCUGAACUUAAGCAUAUCAAUAAGCGGAGGA
This 352-nucleotide unclassified non-coding RNA is filed under the name soil metagenome. RNAcentral describes it as "partial contains 5.8S ribosomal RNA, internal transcribed spacer 2, and large subunit ribosomal RNA". The stretch from base 1 to 120 matches the Rfam family "5.8S ribosomal RNA", at positions 35 to 154 of the family's 154-position model. The record is from RNAcentral.